GUCCUAGCCCUAAACGAUGCUCAUUAGGUGUGGGAGGUAUCGACCCCUUCCGCGCCGUAGCUAACGCAUUAAAUGAGCCGCCUGGGGAGUACGGCCGCAAGGUUGAAACUCAAAGGAAUUGACGGGGGCCCGCACAAGCGGUGGAGCAUGUGGUUUAAUUCGACGCAACGCGAAGAACCUUACCUGGGCUUGAACUACUGGUAGUAAGUCUUUGGAAACAUGGACUGACCCGCAAGGGAGCCAGCAGAGGUGCUGCAUGGUUGUCGU
Molecule: ribosomal RNA, 267 nt
Filed under: uncultured bacterium
Lineage: Bacteria
Description: partial 16S ribosomal RNA
Rfam family: Bacterial small subunit ribosomal RNA
Source: RNAcentral